GUAGCGCUCUAGGGCAGAAGGGUAAACUCAGACACAAGGAGGGCUCUUAGAAAUGUGUGAGGAGACUGGUGAUCAGGCAAGGAUAUUAAAGGAAGAGAAUGUGGGGCUGAGAAAAGUUAUCUAUUGCUCAAUUGGACCUCUCCAGUUUCUGUGAGACAAUGUCCUAAUCAUGCAAUGCUGCCAGCACUGGACGCAAUCCAGGGCCACAAGUCUGCACACUCCUUUGCUACUGGUCCUGUAAUGGCAGAACCUUUCAUCUCGCCUUUAUUGUUCACUGUGACCCCUGCAUUAUCUUCAAAAUAAAGAAACACGCCAUCUUUUCUGCGGUAUGACUUUCGUUGUCGAAUAACCACUGCUGGAUGUACCUUUUUUCUGAGCUCUGGUUUGCCUUUCUUGACUGUGGCCAUCACCGUGUCACCCACACCAGCAG
RNAcentral lists this long non-coding RNA (430 nucleotides) under Homo sapiens (human). RNAcentral describes it as "HSALNT0334145". The record is from RNAcentral. Lineage: Eukaryota; Metazoa; Chordata; Mammalia; Primates; Hominidae.